UACGUAGGUGGCAAGCGUUAUCCGGAUUUAUUGGGCGUAAAGAGAACGCAGGCGGUCUUUUAAGUCUGAUGUGAAAGCCUUCGGCUUAACCGGAGUAGUGCAUUGGAAACUGGGAGACUUGAAUGCAGAAGAGGAGAGUGGAACUCCAUGUGUAGCGGUGAAAUGCGUAGAUAUAUGGAAGAACACCAGUGGCGAAAGCGGCUCUCUGGUCUGUAACUGACGCUGAGGUUCGAAAGCGUGGGUAGCAAACAGG
RNAcentral lists this ribosomal RNA (253 nucleotides) under uncultured bacterium. RNAcentral describes it as "partial 16S ribosomal RNA". It matches the Rfam family "Bacterial small subunit ribosomal RNA", at positions 524 to 776 of the family's 1533-position model. The record is from RNAcentral.